GAUGAACGCUGGCGGCGUGCCUAAUACAUGCAAGUCGAGCGAACAGACGAGGAGCUUGCUUCUCUGACGUUAGCGGCGGACGGGUGAGUAACACGUGGAUAACCUACCUAUAAGACUGGGAUAACUUCGGGAAACCGGAGCUAAUCCCGGAUGAUAUUUUGAACCGCAUGGUUCAAUAGUGAAAGACGGUCUUGCUGUCACUUAUAGCUGCAUCCGCGCUGCAUUAGCUAGUUGUUAAGGUAACGGCUUACCAAGGCAACGAUGCAUAGCCGACCUGAGAGGGGGAUAGGCGACACUGGAACUGAGACACGGUCCAGACUACUACGGGAGGCAGCAGUAGGGAAUCGUCCGCAAUGGGCGAAAGCCUGACGGAGCAACGCCGCGUGAGUGAUGAAGGUCUUCGGAGCGUAAAACUCUGUUAUUAGGGAAGAACAUAUGUGUAAGUAACUGUGCACAUCUUGACGGUACCUAAUCAGAAAGCCACGGCUAACUACGUG
RNAcentral lists this ribosomal RNA (497 nucleotides) under uncultured bacterium. RNAcentral describes it as "partial 16S ribosomal RNA". It matches the Rfam family "Bacterial small subunit ribosomal RNA", at positions 28 to 507 of the family's 1533-position model. The record is from RNAcentral.